CUAUAGCCGUGAUGGCAGCGGCAUCCUUAUUGCCCAUGGUUUGGGCAAGAAGAUAAAGCUAACAGCAGGACAUCUU
Molecule: small RNA, 76 nt
Filed under: Flavobacterium weaverense
Lineage: Bacteria; Pseudomonadati; Bacteroidota; Flavobacteriia; Flavobacteriales; Flavobacteriaceae
Description: Flavo-1 RNA
Rfam family: Flavo-1 RNA
Source: RNAcentral